RNAcentral lists this ribosomal RNA (499 nucleotides) under uncultured bacterium. RNAcentral's name for it is "partial 16S ribosomal RNA". It matches the Rfam family "Bacterial small subunit ribosomal RNA", at positions 28 to 507 of the family's 1533-position model. The record is from RNAcentral.
GACGAACGCUGGCGGCGUGCUUAACACAUGCAAGUCGAACGGGCCCGCUCUCUUUUUUGGGGGUGGGUUGAGUGGCGAACGGGUGAGUAUCACGUGAGUAACCUGCCCCCUGCUCCUGGAUAACUGCUUGAAAGGGCGGCUAAUACGGGGUGUGCCGGCUGGUCCGGAUGGGCCUGGUCGGGAUAGUUUCAUCUUCGGGUGUUUCGGUGGGGGAUGGGCUCGCGGCCUAUCAGCUUGUUGGUGGGGUGAUGGCCCACCAAGGCGGUGACGGGUAGCCGGCCUGAGAGGGUGGGCGGCCACACUGGGACUGAGACACGGCCCAGACUCCUGCGGGAGGCAGCAGUGGGGGGUAUUGCACAAUGGGCGGAAGCCUGAUGCAGCGACGUCGCGUGAGGGAUGGAGGCCUUCGGGUUGUGAACCUCUUUCUCCGGUGGUGAAGGCCCUGUCCGUUGCGGCGGGGUUGACGGUAGCCGGGUAUGAAGCGCCGGCUAACUACGUG